Non-coding RNA from Pelobates cultripes (western spadefoot toad), 244 nucleotides. Lineage: Eukaryota; Metazoa; Chordata; Amphibia; Anura; Pelobatidae. The record is from the annotation of a GenBank genome assembly.
CUGUCACUCAUCCUGCCUAGACAUGCCACACUCAUCCUGUCACUCUCACCUCCCCUUGCCUUGUCACACUUUCUCCUUAAACCGUGCCACACUCACCCCAACAGUGAAUACAGAGACAAGCUCUCUGUAUCCAGCGCUGCAAGCCUGUCAUACAUUAUAAGUACAGCUCAUUAUACACACGAUGCAACCCCUAUAUGUUUUUUUACUAUGAGUGUUAGUGGGGGGCCUCUUGUUUGAGAUUCGC